GACGAACGCUGGCGGCGUGCCUAACACAUGCAAGUCGAACGGAAAGGCCCUGCUUUUGUGGGGUGCUCGAGUGGCGAACGGGUGAGUAACACGUGAGUAACCUGCCCUUGACUUUGGGAUAACUUCAGGAAACUGGGGCUAAUACCGGAUAGGAGCUCCUGCUGCAUGGUGGGGGUUGGAAAGUUUCGGCGGUUGGGGAUGGACUCGCGGCUUAUCAGCUUGUUGGUGGGGUAGUGGCUUACCAAGGCUUUGACGGGUAGCCGGCCUGAGAGGGUGACCGGCCACAUUGGGACUGAGAUACGGCCCAGACUCCUACGGGAGGCAGCAGUGGGGAAUAUUGCACAAUGGGCGGAAGCCUGAUGCAGCAACGCCGCGUGCGGGAUGACGGCCCUCGGGUUGUAAACCGCUUUCGCCUGUGACGAAGCGUGAGUGACGGUAAUGGGUAAAGAAGCACCGGCUAACUACGUG
RNAcentral lists this ribosomal RNA (468 nucleotides) under uncultured bacterium. Its description in RNAcentral is "partial 16S ribosomal RNA". It matches the Rfam family "Bacterial small subunit ribosomal RNA", at positions 28 to 507 of the family's 1533-position model. The record is from RNAcentral.